GACGAACGCUGGCGGCGUGCUUAACACAUGCAAGUCGAACGGAAAGGCCCUGCUUUUGUGGGGUGCUCGAGUGGCGAACGGGUGAGUAACACGUGCGUAACCUGCCCUUGACUUUGGUAUAACUUCCGGAAACUGGUGCUAAUACCGGAUACGUGCUCCUGCUGCAUGGUGGGGGUUGGAAAGUUUCGGCGGGUGGGGAUGGACUCGCGGCUUAUCAGCUUGUUGGUGGGGUAGUGGCUUACCAAGGCUUUGACGGGUAGCCGGCCUGAGAGGGUGACCGGCCACACUGGGACUGAGAUACGGCCCAGACUCCUACGGGAGGCAGCAGUGGGGAAUAUUGCACAAUGGGCGGAAGCCUGAUGCAGCAACGCCGCGUGAGGGAUGACGGCCUUCGGGUUGUAAACCGCUUUCGCCUGGGACGAAGCGUGAGUGACGGUACUGGGUAAAGAAGCACCGGCUAACUACGUG
Molecule: ribosomal RNA, 468 nt
Filed under: uncultured bacterium
Lineage: Bacteria
Description: partial 16S ribosomal RNA
Rfam family: Bacterial small subunit ribosomal RNA
Source: RNAcentral